UACAGAGGCCCCAAGCGUUACUGAGAAUCACUGGGUUUAAAGGGUGCGUAGGUGGUCCGUUAAGUUCGUUGUGAAAGCCCUGGGCUCAACCCAGGAACGGCUUCGAAUACUGGCGGACUUGAGGCUAGUAGGGGUCACUGGAACUGACGGUGGAGCGGUGAAAUGCGUAGAUAUCGUCAGGAACGCCAAUGGUGAAGACAGGUGACUGGGCUAGAUCUGACACUGAGGCACGAAAGCGUGGGGAGCGAAC
This 250-nucleotide ribosomal RNA is filed under the name uncultured bacterium. RNAcentral's name for it is "partial 16S ribosomal RNA". It matches the Rfam family "Bacterial small subunit ribosomal RNA", at positions 524 to 773 of the family's 1533-position model. The record is from RNAcentral.